RNAcentral lists this ribosomal RNA (253 nucleotides) under uncultured bacterium. RNAcentral's name for it is "partial 16S ribosomal RNA". It matches the Rfam family "Bacterial small subunit ribosomal RNA", at positions 524 to 776 of the family's 1533-position model. The record is from RNAcentral.
UACGUAGGGUGCAAGCGUUGUCCGGAAUUAUUGGGCGUAAAGAGCUCGUAGGCGGUUCGUCGCGUCGGCUGUGAAAACCCGGAGCUCAACUCCGGGCCUGCAGUCGAUACGGGCGGACUCGAGUUCGGCAGGGGAGACUGGAAUUCCUGGUGUAGCGGUGGAAUGCGCAGAUAUCAGGAGGAACACCAAUGGCGAAGGCAGAUCUCUGGGCCGUAACUGACGCUGAGGAGCGAAAGCAUGGGGAGCGAACAGG